This 899-nucleotide ribosomal RNA is filed under the name uncultured bacterium. RNAcentral's name for it is "bacterial SSU rRNA". It matches the Rfam family "Bacterial small subunit ribosomal RNA", at positions 33 to 915 of the family's 1533-position model. The record is from RNAcentral.
ACGCUGGCGGCGUGCCUAAUACAUGCAAGUAGAACGCUGAAGGAGGAGCUUGCUUCUCUGGAUGAGUUGCGAACGGGUGAGUAACGCGUAGGUAACCUGCCUGGUAGCGGGGGAUAACUAUUGGGAACGAUAGCUAAUACCGCAUAACAGUAGAUGUUGCAUGACAUUUGCUUAAAAGGUGCAAUUGCAUCACUACCAGAUGGACCUGCGUUGUAUUAGCUAGUUGGUGGGGUAACGGCUCACCAAGGCGACGAUACAUAGCCGACCUGAGAGGGUGAUCGGCCACACUGGGACUGAGACACGGCCCAGACUCCUACGGGAGGCAGCAGUAGGGAAUCUUCGGCAAUGGACGGAAGUCUGACCGAGCAACGCCGCGUGAGUGAAGAAGGUUUUCGGAUCGUAAAGCUCUGUUGUAAGAGAAGAACAGGUGUGAGAGUGGAAAGUUCACACUGUGACGGUAUCUUACCAGAAAGGGACGGCUAACUACGUGCCAGCAGCCGCGGUAAUACGUAGGUCCCGAGCGUUGUCCGGAUUUAUUGGGCGUAAAGCGAGCGCAGGCGGUUAGAUAAGUCUGAAGUUAAAGGCUGUGGCUUAACCAUAGUACGCUUUGGAAACUGUUUAACUUGAGUGCAAGAGGGGAGAGUGGAAUUCCAUGUGUAGCGGUGAAAUGCGUAGAUAUAUGGAGGAACACCGGUGGCGAAAGCGGCUCUCUGGCUUGUAACUGACGCUGAGGCUCGAAAGCGUGGGGAGCAAACAGGAUUAGAUACCCCUGGUAGUCCACGCCGUAAACGAUGAGUGCUAGGUGUUAGACCCUUUCCGGGGUUUAGUGCCGCAGCUAACGCAUUAAGCACUCCGCCUGGGGAGUACGACCGCAAGGUUGAAACUCAAAGGAAUUGACG